UACAGAGGUCCCAAGCGUUGUUCGGAUUCACUGGGCGUAAAGGGUGCGUAGGUGGCCAGGUAAGUUCGGUGUGAAAGCUCGGAGCUUAACUCCGAAAUGGCAUUGAAUACUAUCUAGCUAGAGGGUCGGAGGGGAGACUGGAAUUCUCGGUGUAGCAGUGAAAUGCGUAGAUAUCGAGAGGAACACCAGUGGCGAAGGCGAGUCUCUGGACGACUCCUGACACUGAGGCACGAAAGCCAGGGGAGCAAACAGG
This 253-nucleotide ribosomal RNA is filed under the name uncultured bacterium. RNAcentral describes it as "partial 16S ribosomal RNA". It matches the Rfam family "Bacterial small subunit ribosomal RNA", at positions 524 to 776 of the family's 1533-position model. The record is from RNAcentral.